GGUGCUGUAGCUCAGUCGGUAGAGCGAAGGACUGAAAAUCCUUGCGUCACUGGUUCGAUUCCAGUCAGCACCA
RNAcentral lists this transfer RNA (73 nucleotides) under Bacteroidia bacterium. RNAcentral's name for it is "tRNA-Phe". It matches the Rfam family "tRNA". From Rfam's summary of the family: Transfer RNA (tRNA) molecules are approximately 80 nucleotides in length. Their secondary structure includes four short double-helical elements and three loops (D, anti-codon, and T loops). Further hydrogen bonds mediate the characteristic L-shaped molecular structure. tRNAs have two regions of fundamental functional importance: the anti-codon, which is responsible for specific mRNA codon recognition, and the 3' end, to which the tRNAs corresponding amino acid is attached (by aminoacyl-tRNA synthetases). tRNAs cope with the degeneracy of the genetic code in two manners: having more than one tRNA (with a specific anti-codon) for a particular amino acid; and 'wobble' base-pairing, i.e. permitting non-standard base-pairing at the 3rd anti-codon position. Lineage: Bacteria; Pseudomonadati; Bacteroidota; Bacteroidia. The record is from RNAcentral.